AAAACCUCGACUUCGGAAGGGGUGUAUUUAUUAGAUAAAAAACCAAUGCCCUUCGGGGCUCCUUGGUGAUUCAUGAUAACUCAACGAAUCGCAUGGCCUUGCGCCGGCGAUGGUUCAUUCAAAUUUCUGCCCUAUCAACUUUCGAUGGUAGAAUAGAGGUCUACCAUGGUCUUUACGGGUAACGGCGAAUCAGGGUUCGAUUCCGGAGAGGGAGCCUGAGAAACGUAAGUUUUAUUAUUAUCUUUUUUAUCUUUAACUAAUAUCUUUUUUAGGGCUACCACAUCCAAGGAAGGCAGCAGGCGCGCAAAUUACCCAAUCCCGACACGGGGAGGUAGUGACAAUAAAUACUGAUACAGGGCUCUUUUGGGUCUUGUAAUUGGAAUGAGUACAAUCUAAAUCCCUUAACGAGGAACAAUUGGAGGGCAAGUCUGGUGAACGAUCAGUGGUUCCACAAUUCUGCUGACGCCAGAGAUAGUAGGGGCCUCCGGCGGAGGUUUACGCCUGCUAGUCGAGCAUCCGUCACAGUGAUGGGUGGAUGCCGGCGACACAACCUGGAUCGGGGAAGCCUAACGACGAAAGUCCAGGGUAAUCCCGAGCGGAGCCCCGAGGAAGUGAUUCUUCGGGAGCCCGUGUAGAGCGCGCAAAGGUGUGGGUCAGACUCCGGGCGGAGCUGACUUAAGGGACGUGCCUUCCCCUUCGAAAGAAUGUCCUUAGCUGGAGCACCCAUCAUGUAAAGGCUAGGGAGGGCAACGGUCGUGACCGUGCCUGGAACAGCAUAUGUAGCGAUGUCCGACAUGUGGCUUCAAAAGAACAAUACUCAGAAUCGACCCCGCGAGCAUAAGGAUGAUAUCUCUUGGCAGGCCCAGUGAGUGUGGGGUCCGGUCAGCUAUAUUAUGAUAUAUGAGUAUGCCUAGAAGCCAAUGCCGGAUGAUGCUAGAUAAUUUGUAUGAGGCCAGCAGCCGCGGUAAUUCCAGCUCCAAUAGCGUAUAUUAAAGUUGUUGCCGUUAAAAAGCUCGUAGUUGAACUUUGGGCCUGGCUGAUCUGUCCUCCUAAUCGAGCGCACGGAUUCGGUCGGGCCUUUCCUUCUGGGGAGCCCGAUGUCCUUCACUGGG
Molecule: ribosomal RNA, 1112 nt
Filed under: Lichenodiplis lecanorae
Lineage: Eukaryota; Fungi; Ascomycota; Eurotiomycetes; Verrucariales; Verrucariaceae
Description: partial 18S ribosomal RNA
Rfam family: Eukaryotic small subunit ribosomal RNA
Source: RNAcentral